GAUGAACGCUAGCGGGAGGCCUAACACAUGCAAGCCGAGCGGUAUGGGUAGCUUGCUACCCAGAGAGCGGCGUACGGGUGCGUAACACGUGUGCAACCUGCCCCUAUCCGGGGGAUAGCCCUCCGAAAGGAGGAUUAAUACCCCAUAAUAUAUCUGGUGGCAUCACUAGAUAUUGAAAACCCCGGUGGAUAGGGAUGGGCACGCGCAAGAUUAGAUAGUUGGCGGGGUAACGGCCCACCAAGUCGAUGAUCUUUAGGGGUCCUGAGAGGGAGAUCCCCCACACUGGUACUGCGACACGGACCAGACUCCUACGGGAGGCAGCAGUGAGGAAUAUUGGACAAUGGGUGGAAGCCUGAUCCAGCCAUCCCGCGUGAGGGACGACGGCCCUAUGGGUUGUAAACCUCUUUUGUACGGGGAUAAACCUAUCUACGUGUAGAUAGCUGAAGGUACCGUACGAAUAAGCACCGGCUAACUCCGUG
RNAcentral lists this ribosomal RNA (479 nucleotides) under uncultured bacterium. Its description in RNAcentral is "partial 16S ribosomal RNA". It matches the Rfam family "Bacterial small subunit ribosomal RNA", at positions 28 to 507 of the family's 1533-position model. The record is from RNAcentral.